Molecule: ribosomal RNA, 439 nt
Filed under: uncultured bacterium
Lineage: Bacteria
Description: partial 16S ribosomal RNA
Rfam family: Bacterial small subunit ribosomal RNA
Source: RNAcentral
CUACGGGCGGCAGCAGUGGGGAAUAUUGCACAAUGGAGGAAACUCUGAUGCGGCAACGCCGCGUGGAGGAUGACACUUUUCGGAGCGUAAACUCCUUUUAUAUAGGAAGAAGAUGACGGUACUAUAUGAAUAAGCGCCGGCUAACUCCGUACCAGCAGCCGCGGUAAUACGGAGGGCGCAAGCGUUACUCGGAAUCACUGGGCGUAAAGAGCGUGUAGGCGGAUUAAAAAGUCAGAAGUGAAAUCCUAUAGCUUAACUAUAGAACUGCUUCUGAAACUCUUAAUCUAGAAUAUGGGAGAGGUAGAUGGAAUUUCUGGUGUAGGGGUAAAAUCCGUAGAGAUCAGAAGGAAUACCGAUUGCGAAGGCGAUCUACUAGAACAUUAUUGACGCUGAGACGCGAAAGCGUGGGGAGCAAACAGGAUUAGAUACCCGAGUAGUC